Molecule: ribosomal RNA, 251 nt
Filed under: uncultured prokaryote
Description: partial 16S ribosomal RNA
Rfam family: Bacterial small subunit ribosomal RNA
Source: RNAcentral
UACGGAGGAUGCAAGCGUUAUCCGGAUUUAUUGGGUUUAAAGGGUGCGCAGGUUGUUUGAUAAGUCAGUGGUGAAAGUCUGUCGCUUAACGGUAGGAUUGCCAUUGAUACUGUUGGACUUGAAUAUGGAUGAGGUAGGCGGAAUGUGUAGUGUAGCGGUGAAAUGCAUAGAUAUUACACAGAACACCGAUUGCGAAGGCAGCUCACUAAUCCAUCAUUGACGCUGAGGCACGAAAGCGUGGGGAUCAAACA